CCUACGGGAGGCAGCAGUGAGGAAUAUUGGUCAAUGGCCGGAAGGCUGAACCAGCCAUGCCGCGUGAAGGUCAGUGCCCUAUGGGCGUUAAACUUCUUUUGUGCGGGAGCAAUAAUGGUCACGUGUGGCCAGACGAGAGUACCGUACGAAUAAGCAUCGGCUAACUCCGUGCCAGCAGCCGCGGUAAUACGGGGGAUGCAAGCGUUAUCCGGAUUUAUUGGGUUUAAAGGGUGCGUAGGCUGGGAGGUAAGUCAGCGGUGAAAUGCCCCCGCUCAACGGGGUGAAGUGCCAUUGAUACUGCCUGGCUGGAAUGCGGAUGCCGUGGGAGGAAUGUGUGGUGUAGCGGUGAAAUGCAUAGAUAUCACACAGAACACCGAUUGCGAAGGCAUCUCACGAAGCCGCGAUUGACGCUGAUGCACGAAAGCGUGGGUAUCAAACAGGAUUAGAUACCCGGGUAGUC
Molecule: ribosomal RNA, 460 nt
Filed under: uncultured bacterium
Lineage: Bacteria
Description: partial 16S ribosomal RNA
Rfam family: Bacterial small subunit ribosomal RNA
Source: RNAcentral